AAUAUUGGACGAAGGGCGAAAGCCUGAUUCAGCCAUUCCGCGUGUGUGAAGAAGGNCUNNGGAUUNUNAAGCACCUUAUGUUGNNNNNAAGGGCAGCAAGUUAAUACCUUGCUGUUGUGACGUUACGGACAGAAUAAGCACCGGCUAACUUCGUGCCAGCAGCCGCGGUAAUACGAAGGGUGCAAGCGUUAAUCGGAAUUACUGGGCGUAAAGCGCGCGUAGGUGGUUCGUUAAGUUGGAUGUGGAAGCCCCGGGCUCAACCUGGGAACUGCAUCCAAAACUGGCGAGCUAGAGUACGGUAGAGGGUGGUGGAAUUUGCUGUGUAGCGGUGAAAUGCGUAGAUAUAGGAAGGAACACCAGUGGCGAAGGCGACCACCUGGACUGAUACUGACACUGAGGUGCGAAAGCGUGAGGAGCAAACAGG
This 424-nucleotide ribosomal RNA is filed under the name uncultured bacterium. RNAcentral describes it as "partial 16S ribosomal RNA". It matches the Rfam family "Bacterial small subunit ribosomal RNA", at positions 360 to 776 of the family's 1533-position model. The record is from RNAcentral.